This 253-nucleotide ribosomal RNA is filed under the name uncultured bacterium. RNAcentral describes it as "partial 16S ribosomal RNA". It matches the Rfam family "Bacterial small subunit ribosomal RNA", at positions 524 to 776 of the family's 1533-position model. The record is from RNAcentral.
UACGGAGGGUGCAAGCGUUAUCCGGAUUCACUGGGUUUAAAGGGUGCGUAGGUGGGUCUGUAAGUCAGUGGUGAAAUCUCCGGGCUUAACCCGGAAACUGCCAUUGAUACUAUAGGUCUUGAAUCUUCUGGAGGUUAGCGGAAUAUGUCAUGUAGCGGUGAAAUGCUUAGAUAUUCCAUAGAACACCAAUUGCGAAGGCAGCUGGCUGCCGGGGCAUUGACACUGAGGCACGAAAGCGUGGGGAUCAAACAGG